UUAGCUCUAAUUUGUAUGGAGCUGGAAAGUUUGCCUACGUUUGCCGCUAGGGACACUGUCCCAACUGCAUACAAAUGUGAGUUA
Non-coding RNA from Bombyx mori (domestic silkworm), 84 nucleotides. Lineage: Eukaryota; Metazoa; Arthropoda; Insecta; Lepidoptera; Bombycidae. The record is from Rfam.